CAUGUCUUUUUGAAGUUAAUUUAAAGUCUAGUCUGCCCACUGAUAUAUUAUUAAAUGGCCGCAGUAUUUUAACUGUGCAAAGGUAGCAUAAUCAAUAGUUUUUUAAUUGAAGACUUGUAUGAAUGAUUGCACGAAAUAUAAGCUGUCUUAAAGAAAGUAUUUUGAAUUUUAUUAUUUAGUUAAAAAGCUAAACUAAUUUUAAAAGACGAGAAGACCCUAUAGAUCUUUAUAAAAAUAAUAUUUAUUUUUUAAGGUAUGAUUUUUGGAUUAAUAUUAGUUUUUAUUUUAUUGGGGUGAUAUUGAAAUUUAAUUAACUUUCAAGUUUUAAAUACAUUAGUUUAUGGGUAAUUGAUCCUUUAUUAUUGAUUAAAAAUUUAAGUUACCUUAGGGAUAACAGCGUAAUUAUUUUGGAGAGUUCUUAUCGAUAAAAUAGAUUGCGACCUCGAUGUUGGAUUAAGAUUAAUUCUGGGCGUAGCAGUUUAGAGUAUUAAGUCUGUUCGACUUUUAAUUUCU
This 513-nucleotide ribosomal RNA is filed under the name Eurynogaster nr. cilifemorata 102. RNAcentral's name for it is "partial 16S ribosomal RNA". It matches the Rfam family "Bacterial large subunit ribosomal RNA", at positions 1816 to 2596 of the family's 2925-position model. Lineage: Eukaryota; Metazoa; Arthropoda; Insecta; Diptera; Dolichopodidae. The record is from RNAcentral.